AGGGGAGUGAAAGAGAUCCUGAAACCGUGUGCCUACAAGUAGUCAGAGCCCGUUAAUGGGUGAUGGCGUGCCUUUUGUAGAAUGAACCGGCGAGUUACGAUCCCAUGCAAGGUUAAGCUGAUAAGGCGGAGCCGUAGCGAAAGCGAGUCUGAAUAGGGCGUUUAGUAUGUGGUUGUAGACCCGAAACCAGGUGAUCUACCCAUGUCCAGGGUGAAGUUCAGGUAACACUGAAUGGAGGCCCGAACCCACGCACGUUGAAAAGUGCGGGGAUGAGGUGUGGGUAGCGGAGAAAUUCCAAUCGAACCUGGAGAUAGCUGGUUCUCUCCGAAAUAGCUUUAGGGCUAGCCUCAUGUUGUAAGAGUCUUGGAGGUAGAGCACUGAUUGGACUAGGGGCCCCCAACGGGUUACCGAAUUCAGUCAAACUCCGAAUGCCAAAGACUUAUCCAUGGGAGUCAGACUGCG
Molecule: ribosomal RNA, 462 nt
Filed under: Priestia aryabhattai
Lineage: Bacteria; Bacillati; Bacillota; Bacilli; Caryophanales; Bacillaceae
Description: bacterial LSU rRNA
Rfam family: Bacterial large subunit ribosomal RNA
Source: RNAcentral